This 501-nucleotide long non-coding RNA is filed under the name Heterocephalus glaber (naked mole-rat). RNAcentral describes it as "lncRNA (ENSHGLG00100033903.1)". Lineage: Eukaryota; Metazoa; Chordata; Mammalia; Rodentia; Bathyergidae. The record is from RNAcentral.
GAAAGCACAACGCAAAGCAUGGAUUAAUGCCACCACCACCAAAUUAACCCAUUUUCCAAACUCAUUUGGCCCCUGUCAACUGAAGUUUGGAAAUCACGUUAUGAAAGACACUUGACUGUUGAACUGGAAAGUGCAGUUUCAGAGUCUAUUUGAGGUCUAGGGCAAGGAGUAGGAGCCUUGGAGCUGAACCCAGAUGUGGAGUCCAGGGCGGAUCCCCUGGCACCCUGCCUUUCAGAGGCUCCCAGGGAAAUUCAAAAUCUUCUCAGAGAAGGAAGCUUAGUCGAUGUGGCACAUGGCGCAUCACCAGCUGUUGUCUUCUGGCACAUUGGAAGGAAGCUGGAAAGAGGACUCAAGAUGGACACAGCAGAAGAAAGAAAGGACUGAAAGAAGGAAUUGAGGGCAGCAAAGACAAAAAGAGUUUUUAUCAUAAAUGAAUGCAGAAUUCAUCAGAUAAAGAAUUAAGAAGAGCUGUCCCACCACUCCCAGCCCAGAGGAAGGGGC